This is a non-coding RNA of Paramuricea clavata, 222 nucleotides long. NCBI's taxonomy places the organism in Eukaryota, Metazoa, Cnidaria, Anthozoa, Malacalcyonacea, Plexauridae. The record is from the annotation of a GenBank genome assembly.
AUUAAGGUCCAGACACACAGGCCGGACGCGAUUCGACAACGCGACGCGAUUUUUCAAUUUUCACUGACCGAUAACUUUGAUCCUAGCCAAAUAUUUAGAAGCGUUAUAACAUUUUGAGUUAUCUGGUCUACAUAUCUUUCAAAAUUUGCUCUUAUUGACUUUCAAAAACUAAAAAAUCGUGUCGCGUUGUCGAAUCGCGUCCGGUGUGUCUGAAUCUUAAGU